AUGUCGCAUCGUGUUCCAUUGCAUCCAUUUCCAUUGAAUUGCAUCCCAUUCUGUUGCACACUGUUGCAUCGUGUUGCACUGUGCUGCAUUGCAUUGCAUCCCAUUGCAUUACACCGCGUUGUGUUGCAUUGCACUGCAGCCCAGUGCAUCGUGCACUGCGCUGCGCUGCAUUGCAUUACAGCCUGCUGCAUUACUUUGCAUGGCAUCACGUCACACUGUGUUGUUGCAUUGCACUGCAGCCCAUCACAUCGCAUUGCACACUGCAUUAUGUUGCAUUGCAGCCUGUUUCACUGCAUCGCAACCUGCCAUGUUGCAUUGCAUGUUGCAUUAUGCUGCACUGCAUUACAACCUGUUGCAUUGCAUUACAUCGCACCAUGUUGCAUUACACUGCACCGCGCUGCAUCGCACUGCACUGCAACCCACCGUGUUGCAUUGCACACUGCAUUUUGUUGCAUUGCAUUACAGCCUGUCGCGUUACGUUGCAUUGCAUUACGCUGCACCGUGUUGCAUUGCGCUGCACCGCAACCCGCCGCGUUGCACUGCACACUGCAUUACGCUGCACCCUGUUGCAUUGUGUUACGUUGCAUUGCACCGUGUUGCAUUGCACCGCGUUGCAUUGCAUUGCACCGUGUUGCAUUGCAUUGCACUGCAGCCCAUCACAUCGCAUUGCACACUGCAUUAUGUUGCAUCGUGUUGCAUCGCAGCCUGUUUGAUUGCAUCACAGCCCGUCGUGUUGCACUGCACAUUGCAUUAUGCUGCAUUGCAUUACAGCCUGUUGCAUCGCGUUGCGUUACACCGCGUUGCAUUGCAUUGCACUGCAGCCCAUCGCAUCCCAUCGCACGCUGCAUUUCAUUGCACCCUGCUGCAUCGCAACCUGUUUCAUUGCAUUGCAACCUGUCGUGUUGCAUUGCACACUGCAUUACACUGCAUCGCAUUACAGCCUGUCGCGCUAUGUUGCAUUGCAUUACGCUGCACCGUGUUGCAUUGCAUUGCACCGCGUUGCAUUGCACACUGCAUCACACUACAGCCUGUCGCGCUACGUUGCAUUGCAUUAUGCUGUUCUGCAUUGCAUUGCACUGCACCGCAACCUGCCGCGUUGCAUUGCACACUGCAUUACGCUGCACCCUGUUGCAUUGCAUUACGUUGCAUCGCAAUACGUUGCAUUGCACCGUGUUGCAUUGCAUCGCACCGUGUUGCAUUGCAUUGCACCGCGUUGCAUUGCACCGCGUUGCAUUGCAUUGCGCCGUGUUGCAUUGCAUUGCACCGCGUCCCGUUGCAUCGCGCCGCCCCGCCGCAACCAGCCCUGCUCAGCGCCCCCGGGGCCGUGCCCCGGCGGUGCCCCGGUGCUGCUCCCGGUGCUCCCGGUGCCGGUCCCCCCCGGUGCCCCGGGGACUCACCGUCGGCGCAGCUCGGCGGGCAGCGGGGCCGGGGGCAGCGGCGCGGCCCGGGCCGGCAUCGGGAGGGCGGCGGCGGGAGCGUGCCGGUCCCCCCCGGUGCCCCGGGGACUCACCGUCGGCGCAGCUCGGCGGGAAGCGGGGCCGGGGGCAGCGGCGCGGCCCGGGCCGGCAUCGGGAGGGCGGCGGCGGGAGC
RNAcentral lists this long non-coding RNA (1590 nucleotides) under Anas zonorhyncha (Eastern spot-billed duck). RNAcentral's name for it is "lncRNA (ENSAZOG00000003765.1)". Lineage: Eukaryota; Metazoa; Chordata; Aves; Anseriformes; Anatidae. The record is from RNAcentral.